RNAcentral lists this ribosomal RNA (162 nucleotides) under uncultured bacterium. Its description in RNAcentral is "partial 16S rRNA". It matches the Rfam family "Bacterial small subunit ribosomal RNA", at positions 358 to 511 of the family's 1533-position model. The record is from RNAcentral.
GGAAUCUUCCACAAUGGACGAAAGUCUGAUGGAGCAACGCCGCGUGAGUGAAGAAGGGUUUCGGCUCGUAAAAACUCUGUUGUUAAAGAAGAACAUAUCUGAGAGUAACUGUUCAGGUAUUGACGGUAUUUAACCAGAAAGCCACGGCUAACUACGUGCCAG